This is a non-coding RNA of Cyanistes caeruleus (blue tit), 983 nucleotides long. NCBI's taxonomy places the organism in Eukaryota, Metazoa, Chordata, Aves, Passeriformes, Paridae. The record is from RefSeq and is a predicted model, not a curated record.
UUGUGCCCUGAAGUAUAGUUUACAGGGCAAACCCUUCAGUGUUUACAGACAAGAGCCAGGGUGUUUGAAUCAUCCAUACAGGCCCCUCUAUUCCUUCAGUGGCUGAAAAACUUGAUACGGAUUCCUCAGAUGAACUUCCAAGCUUUGAGCCUCAACUUGCUGGGAAUACCAGACAGAAUGUAUGUGAACUACCUGGUCCCUCAAGGAACCCACACACUAAUGAAAGUAACUCCUGGAGAUCUGGAAUAUUUCCAGAUUUUCUUCUAAUGUGUGCAGAGUGUGACUGUAUUUGGGUUAACAGUGCACAUCACCACAAAGGAGAUCUGUAUCAUGAAGGUGAAAGGACUAAAACCUGAUGUAUCUAAACAGUGAGUUGUCUCUAGAAGGUGCUCUCUGUGAUGUGCCUGCUUGGCAACAAAGAUCAGGCUAUUCAUUCACCUCUCGUAGCCCACCCAGGUGAGGCAUCGUGUUCUCAUGGAAAGAAGUGCCAAGUAGACCCAGUCCUUUUCAUGUAUUAAGGAUGGAACUGUUCAGAUCGGGUUUGCCUGUGAUUUUACAUCCCUGCAGAGAUGUUUAAUCGGAGAACUGACGGGGCUCUCUUCUCAUGUUGCUGCUGUGGCACUAUCAGACAAGCAGCUGCCUUUUUAACCCAGGACAAUGAAGUUGGUUGCCUUGCUCAGUGGUGUUUCCUGGCACCUGUAGAGUGGCCACAGAAGUUCAGCCUUACCCCCUAAACCUUUUUACAGUUGCAGAGGCAUGCUGGAGCAGUGCUGUCAAUGCCAGAGCAGCACUGUAGUUCCCCUGCUUUGAGGACAUCAACUCCCAUUCCAGGCAUUCCUCCACUGCUGUGUCAUUUGUUGCAUCUCUGAAGGGUUCAAGUCAAGGAGGUUUUAUCACCAUUUUGUGUUUGCCUGGGAUGUUGAGUACUCCUCCUUUGCUGUCAAGUUCAUGCAAUGAGCCAUAAACCGUUGGUGCCCCUUCAU